RNAcentral lists this ribosomal RNA (497 nucleotides) under uncultured bacterium. RNAcentral describes it as "partial 16S ribosomal RNA". It matches the Rfam family "Bacterial small subunit ribosomal RNA", at positions 28 to 507 of the family's 1533-position model. The record is from RNAcentral.
GAUGAACGCUGGCGGCGUGCCUAAUACAUGCAAGUCGAGCGAACAGACGAGGAGCUUGCUCCUCUGACGUUAGCGGCGGACGGGUGAGUAACACGUGGAUAACCUACCUAUAAGACUGGGAUAACUUCGGGAAACCGGAGCUAAUACCGGAUCAUAUAUUGAACCGCAUGGUUCAAUAGUGAAAGACGGUUUUGCUGUCACUUAUAGAUGGAUCCGCGCCGCAUUAGCUAGUUGGUAAGGUAACGGCUUACCAAGGCGACGAUGCGUAGCCGAUCUGAGAGGGUGAUCGGCCACACUGGAACUGAGACACGGUCCAGACUCCUACGGGAGGCAGCAGUAGGGAAUCUUCCGCAAUGGGCGAAAGCCUGACGGAGCAACGCCGCGUGAGUGAUGAAGGUCUUCGGAUCGUAAAACUCUUUUAUUAGGGAAGAACAAAUGUGUAAGUAACUAUGCACGUCUUGACGGUACCUAAUCAGAAAGCCACGGCUAACUACGUG